This 201-nucleotide ribosomal RNA is filed under the name uncultured bacterium. Its description in RNAcentral is "partial 16S ribosomal RNA". It matches the Rfam family "Bacterial small subunit ribosomal RNA", at positions 150 to 334 of the family's 1533-position model. The record is from RNAcentral.
UCCGAAAGGAUGGCUAAUACCGGGUAAGACCACGGAGACUUCGGUCUCUGAGGUAAAAAGGUGGCCUCUGUAUACAAGCUAUCACUUCCAGAUGAGCCCGCGGCCCAUCAGCUAGUUGGCGAGGUAACGGCUCACCAAGGCAACGACGGGUAGCUGGUCUGAGAGGACGAUCAGCCACACUGGAACUGAGACACGGUCCAG